AUAUCUUGACCAGAGCAUUACCGGUUAUCUUCACCCAAGAGACCUACUGUUGGACAUUCUUUUUGGAUUUAAAGGUAAACACAUUGUUAGUCACAAUGUCUAGUUACUGGGCCAAAAGGAGAAGAAUAUUGAAAGGAGUCAAGAGGGAUAAAAAGGAUAUUGCGGCUACAAACAAUGCUCUACUACUCUCUUUUUUCUGACUUUGACCAAGUAACUCCCCAUGUUAAUGAACAUCUACAUGGAAUGGCUACAACAAACCAUGUACAAACUGUAACCCCUGUAGCACAGGAAAUAAUUGUUGAUGAGGCAUGUGAAGCUGGUGAGAUGUUUUCCUCAAGCACAGAAGAUGAUGAAGAGGAAGAGGAUUGCCUAAGGACACAAUUGGCAGGGUGGGCUAUUGACAACAUGAUCCACCAUGUGGCACUUGGUAAGCUUUUAACCAUUUUGUCCAAGGAUCAUCCAACCCUUCCUAAAGACCCAAGAACCCGUCUUAAAACGGUGACUUGUGUUAAAACAACAGAACUCUCAGGUGGUGUAUUUGUAGUUUGGUGUGAUGCUUAAUUUGUGAUCUUGCCACUAAACUAUAUUUGUUAGAUUUUCACAUUCCUGUUUCCUAUUUUUCAGAACAAGGUUUCUCACCAGUGGUCCAGUCUCCACUUCUAAGAGCCAAGAGUUUGAGUAAAACUGGAGGAGAACCAAGCCUGCUGGAGGGGAAGCAAUGCACGAGCAGCUUGAUAACUGCAGCUCACUUCAAGAUCAGUUGAAGCAAGUUGGGACAAUGAUGAAGACCUUUGCUCGCACAAGGCAAUCAGGCGCAGAUCAGACCCUAAUGCUGCGACGUCUUGGGAGAGUUUGGCGAUGUUGUGCGUAGCAUGGAAAACAAAAUGGACACAUUGCUGCAACAUUUCAGUGCCAAUGUGUCUGUUGGAGAGUUAUCCCUGCCCAGUGGUCUUUUACUCCCCAUAAACACCCAGGAAGAUUUGGCGUUGCUUGACAGCAGCUUGAGGCAGGAUAGCGAGCUCCAGGAACGAUUUCUUUUUUGGCCAUCAAAUGUGGGAAGGACCUGAAGACAACUGUGUAGAGAAUGCUUCAGAGUAUCUUCUCAAAUCGCCUUUCAAUUUCUACAACUUGGACUAGGGGCUAAAGCUUGUUUUAAAGACCUGUUCCUGAAGACCAUUGUUCAAAGUAAAGCGGUAAAGCUGCCUUUGUUAUAACUGUGGCGGAACGGCGGUUGACCUGCUGUCCGUCCGCGAAAGAAAGGCGGUCCGCCGGCGGCGAUUACGCCAUUCUGCCGCUGCUACGAUCUCUGGCGAACCGCUGGCGGCCCGCCGACUCAUUGCUAUCUGGGACGGGGCUUCAAAAGGACGUAUGACAUCACCUCGCAUUACCAAGGCUAGCAAAGGCCUAGUUUAUGCUUCUGCGUUUUCAGAGAGACGCAAGGACACGCAGACGCAAGACCCCCUUGCGUGUCCCUUGCGUGCCUUUUCACUCCUCCUUGCGUGCGUCAACCCAUUUUUCUACGCAAGCCUCCCGCAGCGCACAAGGCUGCGAUUGGUCUGCUAUCUACAUCCUUAACGGAGUCUCACAUUUCUGGUUUCAUAGCACAAUACCGCCAUUAUUAAAGUGGAGAAUGUUUACGAGAGAACGGAUCAGAUUGAAGAGCUUUUGUCAGAAGAAAUGCGUAAAUAUGACCGCUUCUAUAUCCCGUCAUUGGCGGACUAUAAGGAAGCGCUGAUGGUCUCUGAUUCAUGGAGAGAGAUCUCCGCAAACGUCGGUUUGCCGGUUGAGAGGUGCACAAAGUUGUGGGGGAAAAUACGGGACAAAUGUGUCCGUGAUGAAAAGCAGCAGUGUCGAUGCACGGGGCAAUAAAGUCUAUGAUAAAUAAAUAAACAAAUAAAUAAAUAGACGUGACUCUCUAGGUCGUCUUGGACAAAAACACGUCACUCCGCCUGUUGUUCUGGCGGUGAAUUGCUCUGCAACACACGCAAGACUUUUAGAACCGUGAAUUGAAACGAGUGCGUCGACACAACGGUGCGUAAAGACGCAGAAGCAUGCGCCAGCCUUAAGUAAAAGUAUGUGAGUA
Molecule: long non-coding RNA, 2083 nt
Organism: Gasterosteus aculeatus aculeatus (three-spined stickleback)
Lineage: Eukaryota; Metazoa; Chordata; Actinopteri; Perciformes; Gasterosteidae
Source: Ensembl